AAUAGAUACCCCGGUAGUCCACGCCGUAAACGAUGGAUACUAGCUGUUUGAGCGCAAGUUUGAGUGGCUAAGCGAAAGUGAUAAGUAUCCCACCCGGGGAGUACGGGCGCAAGCCUGAAACUCAAAGGAAUUGACGGGGGCCCGCACAAGCGGUGGAGCAUGUGGUUUAAUUCGAUGAUACGCGAGGAACCUUACCAGGGCUUAAAUGUAGAUUGACGUAUUUGGAAACAGAUAUUUCUUCGGACAAUUUACAAGGUGCUGCAUGGUUGUCGUCAGCUCGUGCCGUGAGGUGUCAGGUUAAGUCCUAUAACGAGCGCAACCCCUGUUGUUAGUUGCCAGCGAGUAAUGUCGGGAACUCUAGCAAGACUGCCAGUGUAAACUGUGAGGAAGGUGGGGAUGACGUCAAAUUAUCACGGCCCUUACGUCCUGGGCCACACACGUGCUACAAUGGCCGGUACAGAGAGCAGCCACUUAGCGAUAAGGAGCGAAUCUAUAAAGCCGGUNACAGUUCGGAUCGGAGU
RNAcentral lists this ribosomal RNA (521 nucleotides) under uncultured bacterium. RNAcentral describes it as "bacterial SSU rRNA". It matches the Rfam family "Bacterial small subunit ribosomal RNA", at positions 777 to 1304 of the family's 1533-position model. The record is from RNAcentral.